This 453-nucleotide ribosomal RNA is filed under the name uncultured Porphyromonadaceae bacterium. RNAcentral describes it as "partial 16S ribosomal RNA". It matches the Rfam family "Bacterial small subunit ribosomal RNA", at positions 341 to 792 of the family's 1533-position model. Lineage: Bacteria; Pseudomonadati; Bacteroidota; Bacteroidia; Bacteroidales; Porphyromonadaceae. The record is from RNAcentral.
ACGGGAGGCAGCAGUGAGGAAUAUUGGUCAAUGGGCGGAAGCCUGAACCAGCCAAGUCGCGUGAAGGAUGAAGGUAUUAUGUAUUGUAAACUUCUUUAGCUGUGGAGCAAUAAUCUCCAUGUAUGGAGAGAUGAGAGUACACAGAGAAUAAGGAUCGGCUAACUCCGUGCCAGCAGCCGCGGUAAUACGGAGGAUCCGAGCGUUAUCCGGAUUUAUUGGGUUUAAAGGGUGCGCAGGCGGCUUUUUAAGUCAGUGGUUAAAUCGGGACGCUAAACGUCGUCACGCCAUUGAUACUGGAGGGCUUGAUUGCGUGCGAGGUUUGCGGAAUUCGUCGUGUAGCGGUGAAAUGCAUAGAUAUGACGAAGAACACCGAUUGCGUAGGCAGCAGACCAGGCCGUAAAUGACGCUCAUGCACGAAAGUGCGGGGAUCGAACAGGAUUAGAUACCCUGGUA